RNAcentral lists this ribosomal RNA (500 nucleotides) under uncultured bacterium. Its description in RNAcentral is "partial 16S ribosomal RNA". It matches the Rfam family "Bacterial small subunit ribosomal RNA", at positions 30 to 523 of the family's 1533-position model. The record is from RNAcentral.
AUUGAACGCUGGCGGAAUGCUUUACACAUGCAAGUCGAACGGCAGCACGGACUUCGGUCUGGUGGUGAGUGGCGAACGGGUGAGUAAUGUAUCGGAACGUGCCCAGUCGUGGGGGAUAACGUAGUGAAAAUUACGCUAAUACCGCAUACGAUCUAUGGAUGAAAGCGGGGGAUCGCAAGACCUCGCGCGAUUGGAGCGGCCGAUAUCAGAUUAGGUAGUUGGUGGGGUAAAGGCCCACCAAGCCAACGAUCUGUAGCUGGUCUGAGAGGACGACCAGCCAAACGGGAACUGAGACACGGUCCAGACUCCUACGGGAGGCAGCAGUGGGGAAUUUUGGACAAUGGGCGAAAGCCUGAUCCAGCCAUUCCGCGUGCAGGAUGAAGGCCCUCGGGUUGUAAACUGCUUUUGUACAGAACGAAAAGGUUUCUACUAAUACUAGGAGCUCAUGACGGUACUGUAAGAAUAAGCACCGGCUAACUACGUGCCAGCAGCCGCCGUAA